RNAcentral lists this ribosomal RNA (314 nucleotides) under uncultured bacterium. RNAcentral's name for it is "bacterial SSU rRNA". It matches the Rfam family "Bacterial small subunit ribosomal RNA", at positions 28 to 334 of the family's 1533-position model. The record is from RNAcentral.
GAUGAACGCUAGCUACAGGCUUAACACAUGCAAGUCGAGGGGCAGCAUGAACUUAGCUUGCUAAGUUUGAUGGCGACCGGCGCACGGGUGAGUAACACGUAUCCAACCUGCCGAUGACUCGGGGAUAGCCUUUCGAAAGAAAGAUUAAUACCCGAUGGCAUAGUUCUUCCGCAUGGUAGAACUAUUAAAGAAUUUCGGUCAUCGAUGGGGAUGCGUUCCAUUAGCUUGUUGGCGGGGUAACGGCCCACCUAGUCUUCGAUGGAUAGGGGUUCUGAGAGGAAGGUCCCCCACAUUGGAACUGAGACACGGUCCAA